AGCCACGUAGUGAGCACAUAGCGAACUAUUCUUUCGCCUUUUACUAAAGAAUACCGUGUGUGCACUACAAUUAAUGGCAUAUGCUAAUUUUUGGAGGAAUUCUCUUUUAACUGAGGAU
This is a small nuclear RNA of Solanum dulcamara, 118 nucleotides long. RefSeq annotates it as U5 spliceosomal RNA. The transcript has a single exon. The record is from RefSeq and is a predicted model, not a curated record. Lineage: Eukaryota; Viridiplantae; Streptophyta; Magnoliopsida; Solanales; Solanaceae.